Molecule: long non-coding RNA, 462 nt
Organism: Nicotiana tabacum (common tobacco)
Lineage: Eukaryota; Viridiplantae; Streptophyta; Magnoliopsida; Solanales; Solanaceae
Source: RefSeq, a predicted model, not a curated record
UCGAAUCUAAAUGCCUUCUUGACUUUUUAGGUCUGGAGGAUGAAAAUUGACAACCCAAAAACUGAAUUUCAUCAUCUGAAUAUUCUUUGAAUAGAUUAAUAAAGACCUUUUUAGUUCCACUGCUGCUAGGUUUUGAACAAAAAGAUGAUAUAAUCUCAACUUUGACGUCUCUUUUCCUUGAGUAUUUUUCACCAACAGUGUGAGUUAUUUUCUUCAAAUACAAAAAAUUGGGCGUGAAUCUAGGGUUAAUGUCUGAAAAAUAGAAGAAAACUUUCGAAAUUGCAAGAUUUUUGCUGCAGAAUUCUGAAAUUUGAAGUCGUGUGUUGCUGCUCCGCAAGAUUCUCAGGCGAAAGGAUUCAAACCAGUCAGAGUUGGAUAAUCGUGGAAAAAGGCCUUCUAUUGGAUUAAAUUCGAGCAAAUUGAGGUACAUAAGAAAAUGUCCUCUUUUCUUGUGGAGCGGGC